AGGAGGCCUGGAGAGGGACAGGGCAGGUCCCUUUCCCCACAGCUGAGCAGUGAGCAGUGCCCGGCCUGUCUCUAACAGGGUUUCAAGGUCCUGUCCUCCUCAGAAGGACCCAGUCCACCUCUCUAUACAUCAGCUCUGGGCACAGGGGAAGCAAAUGGCCUUGGGCCUCAGGGCCAAACUGUCUACCUAGCAUUGUUGCAGAGAGACCUGGAAAGCCUUAGAAAUAACCAGAUUCCAGGCCACCUGCUCCUUCCAGGAUCAGCCCAUCCUCUGCCUAUGCUGGGGUCUCACUAGGUAGCCCAGGCUGGACUCAACGGCGAUCCUCCUAACCUGAUCCUCCUGAGUACUGGGAUUAUAGGCAUAAACUACCAAACCCAGCUUCAACCCAGACCUCUGAGCUCCACAGCCUGAGCAUCUUCUCGCCAUGCCACCCUGCCUCUCUCUGAUGACCUCUUGUUCCCUGUCUCUUGGGUCUCUGGGCAUCAGAGGGUUGAUACUCAGGCCACCACGUGGACAGACAUACUGAAGGCCCUGCCGUGCAGGAAGGGGUUAAUUGGGAUGCCCUCAGCAAGCUCCGGUUUGGUGGAAGGCCGGUUGCCAUAGCAACAGCAAGGAUUGGGGACAGGGAAGCCAGCACAGCAGGAUCUUCUGAAUCAGUGGAUGGAUGUACAGCCCAUAUGUUUAUUCUGCGGUGAAAGCCUCCCAGCUUCUGGGACUGCACGUGGCCCUCAGCAGUAGCUGUGCUGCGCAGGGGUGCAGGCAGGGUUUCCUGAAUGGGCAGAGGCCAGGAGGCCUUGGCUCUACCUCUCACCCCAGGGGUCCCACAAGCUCUGUUGAGGGAGACUUUUCUACCAGGAAGGCCCAGAGCUCUUGCUUUCAGCCGGCAGUAACCUGGACUAGGGAAAAACCAGGAGAGUGGAGAUCUGAGGCCAAAACCAAUCAAUCCAUCAUCAUUCACUCACCAGGCAGGCAUUGCCUGCUGACAGCACAGUCACUGGGCCAGAUGCUGCGACCUGAGUGAGAGCUGGGAGCCAGACAGGCUCUGCACUCCUGAUGCUUCACUUCUAGAAAGCCUGGAAGUCCCUACCAUGCUCCUGCCUUGGGCAAAUCCCUUUGCCUUUCAGAGGUUAUCUAUAAGAUGGGGUCAAACCAGGAA
Long non-coding RNA from Chinchilla lanigera (long-tailed chinchilla), 1156 nucleotides. RefSeq lists it as uncharacterized. The transcript is spliced from 2 exons. The record is from RefSeq and is a predicted model, not a curated record. NCBI's taxonomy places the organism in Eukaryota, Metazoa, Chordata, Mammalia, Rodentia, Chinchillidae.